GGGGAAUUAGCUCAGUGGUAGAGCGUUUGCUUCGCAAGUAAAAGGUCUCGAGUUCAAACCUCGAAUUCUCCA
Molecule: transfer RNA, 72 nt
Organism: Trachipleistophora hominis
Lineage: Eukaryota; Fungi; Microsporidia; Pleistophoridae
Rfam family: tRNA
About the family: Transfer RNA (tRNA) molecules are approximately 80 nucleotides in length. Their secondary structure includes four short double-helical elements and three loops (D, anti-codon, and T loops). Further hydrogen bonds mediate the characteristic L-shaped molecular structure. tRNAs have two regions of fundamental functional importance: the anti-codon, which is responsible for specific mRNA codon recognition, and the 3' end, to which the tRNAs corresponding amino acid is attached (by aminoacyl-tRNA synthetases). tRNAs cope with the degeneracy of the genetic code in two manners: having more than one tRNA (with a specific anti-codon) for a particular amino acid; and 'wobble' base-pairing, i.e. permitting non-standard base-pairing at the 3rd anti-codon position.
Source: Rfam